UGGGGAAUAUUGCACAAUGGAGGGAACUCUGAUGCAGCGACGCCGCGUGAGUGAUGAAGGAAUUCGUUUCGUAAAACUCUGUUCUAUGGGAAGAAAAGGACUGUACCAUAGGAGAAAGCUCCGGCUAAAUACGUGCCAGCAGCCGCGGUAAUACGUAUGGAGCGAGCGUUGUCCGGAAUUAUUGGGCGUAAAGGGUGCGCAGGCGGCUUUACAAGUUGGAUGUGAAAUAUUGUGGCUCAACCACAAACGUGCAUCCAAAACUGGAAAGCUUGAGUUAAGGGGAGGUAAGUGGAAUUCCUGGUGUAGCGGUGGAAUGCGUAGAAAUCAGGAGGAAUACCGGUGGCGAAGGCGACUUACUGGACUUAAACUGACGCUCAGGCACGAAAGCGUGGGGAGCAAACAGG
This 404-nucleotide ribosomal RNA is filed under the name Fusobacteriota bacterium. Its description in RNAcentral is "Fusobacteria bacterium partial 16S ribosomal RNA". It matches the Rfam family "Bacterial small subunit ribosomal RNA", at positions 355 to 776 of the family's 1533-position model. Lineage: Bacteria; Fusobacteriati; Fusobacteriota. The record is from RNAcentral.